This 253-nucleotide ribosomal RNA is filed under the name uncultured bacterium. Its description in RNAcentral is "partial 16S ribosomal RNA". It matches the Rfam family "Bacterial small subunit ribosomal RNA", at positions 524 to 776 of the family's 1533-position model. The record is from RNAcentral.
UACAGAGGUCUCAAGCGUUGUUCGGAAUUACUGGGCGUAAAGGGUGCGCAGGCCGCGCGGGCAGUCAGAUGUGUAAUUCAGGGGCUCAACCCCUGCACUGCGCUUGAUACUUCCGCGCUCGAGCUUUGGAAAGGAGUCUGGAAUUCUCGGUGUAGCAGUGAAAUGCGUGGAUAUCGAGAAGAACACUUAGGGCGAAGGCAAGACUCUGGACAAAUGCUGACGCUCAUGCACGAAGGCUAGGGUAGCGAACGGG